Molecule: long non-coding RNA, 1668 nt
Organism: Halichondria panicea
Lineage: Eukaryota; Metazoa; Porifera; Demospongiae; Suberitida; Halichondriidae
Exons: 5
Source: RefSeq, a predicted model, not a curated record
CGGAUACACGGCUCCAUUGCCGAGACGAAAGGGGGCGUGGUCAAAAGUCACAUGGUGACACGCCCACUUCCGUUCGGUCUUCGCGCCCCUUAAAACAAACAGCAUUCCAUUGAAUAACAGCCAAAAAGACACUGUAACAAGAAUGAUUUGAGGAUAAAAUGUAACUGGGUAGCUGAUGGGCAUGACAGCCUUUCAUGGCCUUCAAUUUCCUUUUGGCCGAUGACCAGUAGGAUUCAAUGUUCUGGGUAUGAACUCCCGUAGCUGGAUCAACAAAGUUGAGUGAGUGGUUCACACUUGAGUGGCUACCAACAUUGGGGAGAGAGCCAACCUGGCUAUAGGCACUCCACUGGUCCGAAUAAAUUGUUGUCCCUGCUGCAACAUGGGCAUUGAUUAUUGGGAGGAGUGUGGCUGCCCGUCGGUCUUGAACUAUUUCCAUAUAUCCUAACGAUGGAGUCGUGGAGGUGUCCACCAUCCCAAAUACCCACAUCUCCGUGGUGGUUGCCCUUCCCCGGUGGUGCUGAAGAGCAAAGGCUUGUGACGAAACAGUGAUUCAUCUAUCUGGACUACUACACCACUUCCACCGAGAAUGAUGCUGGUAUUUACCAGCUUCAUGCUGCAUACCUCCCGCAACCACUGAAACACAUUAAUGGCCGUUUCCUUGUUCACCUCCACCAUCUGAGCCACUGUACACACCGGAAGUUGGUAGGCCCAGAGGUGAAUCAGGAGGAUCCAAGUCCGAAGGGGAAUCUUUGAUUUCUCAAAGAAACUGCCCGCCCUUACAGUUUUCCUCGUCUUACACGCCUUGCACCACCACUUAUACCCAUCCUUCACAUCUCUCCUCAGUCUCUCUUCCAUGUCAUCACCACAACUAUAAUGAUUUGUGUUAAAUAAUUUUUUCUAGAGUUAUACUGUCUUACCGAACACAAUCCAUGUCAUCUGCGAGCAAACCAAGACUUCUUAGAUACACUAAUAUUUGACUUGGUGAGCCAAAAGCUACUGUACCAACAUUAAUGAGAGACAUACUAAAAUGUUACCAUGAAUUUAUCAGUGCAGUGGUGCGAAAUUUACAUGUGGCCGGGCAAUGCCCGCGAAAUAAAUGGGCGUUUGUAAUCGGCGCGAAAGAUGUGUACAGGAAGUGGGCGUGUCACCAUGUGACUUUUGACCACGCCCCCUUUCGUCUCGGCCAUGGAGCCGUGUAUCCGUCAUGAUCCGCGUUGUCUUGCUGCCAGACAUUCAUUGACCCAGCAUGAGGAUCUGACAAACUGAUGCUGAUGUGGACAUAAAUAACUCAAGUCGCGUUGAAGACGCUUUGAAGGACUGCGACUGCCUUUGCUUGUUGACAGUCUCCCUGGGUACACCAUCAACCUAUGUAGAAAAUAAUCGAACUUUCGAUGAAUUUCCACAAUGGCAUAUUUUCAAUGCCGUCUAUUAUGCAAGAAAGCAAGCUUCCUAACUCUUCCACAACGUUCCCUGGACUGUAGCUGACCUGGAGCUGAAAAGAUUCCUUUAUUGUGCAUAGCCUUUUGCUGUAUCUAUUCAUAAAGUAUUUUGUCAGCCAUUAUGAUAAUCAUUUAUUUUUUUGUUUUUUUGUUUCUGCUUCUGGUAAAAAAGAAAAACUACCAAGAAUGUAUUUCCUUUCCCUUUGUGUAUAUUUUUGAGUGUUCACAG